This 375-nucleotide ribosomal RNA is filed under the name uncultured bacterium. RNAcentral describes it as "bacterial SSU rRNA". It matches the Rfam family "Bacterial small subunit ribosomal RNA", at positions 28 to 404 of the family's 1533-position model. The record is from RNAcentral.
GACGAACGCUGGCGGCGUGCUUAACACAUGCAAGUCGAGCGGUAAGGCCCUUUCGGGGGUACACGAGCGGCGAACGGGUGAGUAACACGUGGGUGACCUGCCCUCAGCUCUGGGAUAAGCCUGGGAAACCGGGUCUAAUACUGGAUAUGACUCCAUGACGCAUGUUGUGGGGUGGAAAGCCUUGUGCGGCUGAGGAUGGGCCCGCGGCCUAUCAGCUUGUUGGUGGGGNGAUGGCCUACCAAGGCGACGACGGGUAGCCGGCCUGAGAGGGCGACCGGCCACACUGGGACUGAGACACGGCCCAGACUCCUACGGGAGGCAGCAGUGGGGAAUCUUGCGCAAUGGGCGGAAGCCUGACGCAGCGACGCCGCGUGA